Long non-coding RNA from Notothenia coriiceps (black rockcod), 727 nucleotides. RefSeq lists it as uncharacterized. The record is from RefSeq and is a predicted model, not a curated record. Lineage: Eukaryota; Metazoa; Chordata; Actinopteri; Perciformes; Nototheniidae. The transcript is spliced from 4 exons.
CAGGAUAAUGCUGAUAGUCAAAAAUACAUACAUUAAUAUGAAGAUAAUAAUAAAAGACCUGAGAUGUGGGACCUGGUGUAUCAGGUCAGUCUGAUUCUCUCAUGUUGUGGCAGGCAGAGACAAACUUUCCUGCAAUAAUGUCGCUUUUUUCAUUUCCCCUAAUAAUACUUUUAGUUUUCCACUCCCUCAUCAGUCCCAGUGUUUACAUGAUGGCACCGCAUGGCGUGUGUUUAAGCCUAAGCCCCGCCCCUCUUGGCCUGAGACGUGGUUCUGACGCGAUGACGUCACCACGUAAGUUGUUGGGUUGGAGACUUUGAUGGCGUCGAAGGCUCGGAGCUGGAGAGGGAUGCAGAAGAGAUGGCCUCGGCUCGGAUAUUAUGACUAAUGCCUAUUUGAUCGACGUUUACUUGCUGCUUACUAACUGCACGGGUUUCGGGUGAACCUUUGGCUUCUCAUCGGUCCUGCAGCUGAUUUCCAUGUCUUACGUGUAAGAGUUUCCAAACAGGAUCAUCAGGACUGCUCACUGUCCGUUACCGAUUGUCUGACUGGUCCCGGCCGUUCCUCGUUGGUUGACCCACUCCUUCACCGGCGCCAUGGAGGAGGAGGGCCAGCAGAGCUUGGAGUGCAUCCAGGCCAAUCAGAUCUUCCCCAAGAAGUCCCCCGUCCUGGAGGAGGAAAACAUGCAGGUGAGGAAGCUGCUGCUUAUCUCGUGCUCUCCCCAGUCAAC